GACGUAGGGCGCGAGCGUUGUCCGGAUUUAUUGGGCGUAAAGAGCUCGUAGGCGGCUUGUUGCGUCGACUGUGAAAACCCGCAGCUUAACUGCGAGCCUGCAGUUGAUACGGGCAGGCUAGAGUUCGGCAGGGGAGACUGGAAUUCCUGGUGUAGCGGUGAAAUGCGCAGAUAUCAGGAGGAACACCGGUGGCGAAGGCGGGUCUCUGGGCCGAUACUGACGCUGAGGAGCGAAAGCGUGGGGAGCGAACAGG
This 253-nucleotide ribosomal RNA is filed under the name uncultured bacterium. RNAcentral's name for it is "partial 16S ribosomal RNA". It matches the Rfam family "Bacterial small subunit ribosomal RNA", at positions 524 to 776 of the family's 1533-position model. The record is from RNAcentral.